AACGAACGCUGGCGGCAGGCCUAACACAUGCAAGUCGAGCGCCCCGCAAGGGGAGCGGUGGACGGGUGAGUAACGCGUGGGAACGCACCCUUUGGUUCGGAAUAGCCCUGGGAAACUGGGAGUAAUACCGGAUACGGUCGAGAGACGAAAGAUUUAUCGCCGAAGGAUCGGCCCGCGUUGGAUUAGGUAGUUGGUGGGGUAAUGGCCUACCAAGCCGACGAUCCAUAGCGGGUUUGAGAGGAUGAUCAGCCACACUGGGACUGAGACACGGCCCAGACUCCUACGGGAGGCAGCAGUGGGGAAUCUUAGACAAUGGGCGCAAGCCUGAUCUAGCCAUGCCGCGUGAGCGAUGAAGGCCUUAGGGUUGUAAAGCUCUUUCGGGGGGGAAGAUAAUGACUGUACCCCCAGAAGAAGCCCCGGCUAACUCCGUGCCAGCCGCCGCCGUAA
This 447-nucleotide ribosomal RNA is filed under the name uncultured bacterium. RNAcentral describes it as "partial 16S ribosomal RNA". It matches the Rfam family "Bacterial small subunit ribosomal RNA", at positions 29 to 523 of the family's 1533-position model. The record is from RNAcentral.